GACGAACGCUGGCGGCGUGCUUAACACAUGCAAGUCGAACGGAAAGGCCCUGCUUUUGUGGGGUGCUCGAGUGGCGAACGGGUGAGUAACACGUGAGUAACCUGCCCUUGACUUUGGGAUAACUUCAGGAAACUGGGGCUAAUACCGGAUAGGAGCUCCUGCUGCAUGGUGGGGGUUGGAAAGUUUCGGCGGUUGGGGAUGGACUCGCGGCUUAUCAGCUUGUUGGUGGGGUAGUGGCUUACCAAGGCUUUGACGGGUAGCCGGCCUGAGAGGGUGACCGGCCACAUUGGGACUGAGAUACGGCCCAGACUCCUACGGGAGGCAGCAGUGGGGAAUAUUGCACAAUGGGCGGAAGCCUGAUGCAGCAACGCCGCGCGCGGGAUGACGGUCUUCGGGUUGUAAACCGCUUUCGCCUGUGACGAAGCGUGAGUGACGGUAAUGGGUAAAGAAGCACCGGCUAACUACGUG
RNAcentral lists this ribosomal RNA (468 nucleotides) under uncultured bacterium. RNAcentral describes it as "partial 16S ribosomal RNA". It matches the Rfam family "Bacterial small subunit ribosomal RNA", at positions 28 to 507 of the family's 1533-position model. The record is from RNAcentral.